RNAcentral lists this ribosomal RNA (231 nucleotides) under uncultured bacterium. Its description in RNAcentral is "partial 16S ribosomal RNA". It matches the Rfam family "Bacterial small subunit ribosomal RNA", at positions 1269 to 1500 of the family's 1533-position model. The record is from RNAcentral.
AAAACUUAUAAAAGCGACCUCAGUUCGGAUUGAAGGCUGAAAUUCGCCUUCAUGAAGUCGGAAUUGCUAGUAAUGGCAAGUCAGCAUACUGCCGUGAAUACGUUCCCGGGCCUUGUACACACCGCCCGUCACACCAUGAGAGUUGGAGAUACCCGAAGCCUAUGAGCUAACUUUUAGAGGCAGUAGUCGAAGGUAGAAUCAAUGAUUGGGGUGAAGUCGUAACAAGGUACC